RNAcentral lists this ribosomal RNA (550 nucleotides) under uncultured bacterium. Its description in RNAcentral is "bacterial SSU rRNA". It matches the Rfam family "Bacterial small subunit ribosomal RNA", at positions 579 to 1128 of the family's 1533-position model. The record is from RNAcentral.
UCUGUCUAGUCGGAUGUGAAAUCCCCGGGCUCAACCUGGGAACUGCAUUCGAAACUGGCAAGCUAGAGUCUUGUAGAGGGGGGUGGAAUUCCCUGUGUAGCGGUGAAAUGCGUAGAUAUCUGGAGGAAUACCGGUGGCGAAGGCGGCCCCCUGGACUGAUACUGACGCUCAGGUGCGAAAGCGUGGGGAGCAAACAGGAUUAGAUACCCUGGUAGUCCACGCCGUAAACGAUGUCGACUUGCAGGUUGUUCCCUUGAGGACUGGCUUCCGGAGCUAACGCGUUAAGUCGACCGCCUGGGGAGUACGGCCGCAAGGUUAAAACUCAAAUGAAUUGACGGGGGCCCGCACAAGCGGUGGAGCAUGUGGUUUAAUUCGAUGCAACGCGAAGAACCUUACCUAGUCUUGACAUCCACUGAACUUUCCAGAGAUGCUUUGGUGCCUUCGGGAACCUUGAGACAGGUGCUGCAUGGCUGUCGUCAGCUCGUGUUGUGAAAUGUUGGGUUAAGUCCCGCAACGAGCGCAACCCUUGUCCUUUGUUGCCAGCGGUUCA